Molecule: long non-coding RNA, 365 nt
Organism: Cyprinodon variegatus (sheepshead minnow)
Lineage: Eukaryota; Metazoa; Chordata; Actinopteri; Cyprinodontiformes; Cyprinodontidae
Exons: 3
Source: RefSeq, a predicted model, not a curated record
AACAACCCGUCCACGUUGCUUUCUACAACGCUGUUUCUUUUUGUGCGUGUUCUUUUAUUGUUGUUUUUUUCGGUCAGGAACUCCGGCGCGGUGCUGCCGAGCUGCUGUGACUCCAAACCAGCUAUGGGAAAAUGGAUGCUCCAUACUGCUCAAAAUUUGUCUCUGAAAAGAAAAGGAUACAAGGCAAAGUAGAUAAAAAAAAAAGCACCAGAAAAUCUGGAUCAGGGUUCUGGACAACUUUACAUGUGUACAAAUUGAUGAGCUGAGCAGCAAAGAUCUGAUGUCAACUGUAAAAACAAAUCAAAGGUGUUGGAUCUUAUUGUGCAGACAUGCAUAGAACUUUGAAGCAAGAGACAUUUUCAAGU